RNAcentral lists this long non-coding RNA (838 nucleotides) under Androctonus crassicauda. Lineage: Eukaryota; Metazoa; Arthropoda; Arachnida; Scorpiones; Buthidae. The record is from RNAcentral.
CUAAAUCGUAAACUGUAGUUCAAAUAAAAGCACUACUCAGCAGUCAAAAUUUUCUCUACUUUAAACAGUUUGGUGCUAAUGUUUUUGAUGCACUGGGUGUCGUCGUCGGGCUGCAUAAUAUACACCAAUAUAGAUUUUAAAUAUAAAGUGAGUAGUGUUGUUCUGGAACGGCGUUGGGUUGCUAUGGUUACUCAGAGUAGUAAUUGUAGAUUAAAUAAAUAAACAAACAAAUAAAUGUUAAAAAACUUAAACAUCUAUAUAAGCUACAUAAAUUUGAGGUUGUACUACUAAUAUUAAGAAUUGCUAAAUUAUCAAAAGGUUAGUGGCUUGUUUUGUUUAUCAGAUAUUUUCAUGGUGUAGAUAACUGUUGCAUAGGGCGGUCAUUUAUGAGUCUUUUUUCUUCACAGUGGUAUAAAUUUCCAUGGUCCCGUGGCACCCCCCUUAGCUGAAAUCGUACUAAGAGAAGCGGAGGCUAAAGUCCUUUAUAAACUCUACAAUGGCAUGAGAUUCUAUUUAUGUUAUGUCAAUGAUAUAUUAACAGUAUGGGACAAAGGGCAGGAUCCAAAAGUCUUAAUGGAAAGUUUAACAAUAAAAGUGUAUGGUGUAGUAUUGAAAGAACAACAGGUUAGCCAUUCAUCUGCACAGGUUUUAGACAUUAAGAUAGAAAUAAGAGAUAAGAAAGUAGAUACCUCAUCCAUCAUUGCUUUCAACUGCUUCAAUCACUUUGUUAUGUACACUAAUUCCAAAUAAAGCAUUAUCUGCAGUAUACAUAUAAUAAUCACUUUAAUCUAAGAGAAUAUACAAACGUUUUCAGCAGUACAUACCGCCAUCAUCAGGU